CAAAGUUGAUCGUGUUUAUGACGUCGAAUAUCGACGUCAUAAACACCAAAGUUGAUCGUGUUUAUGACGUCGAAUAUCGACGUCAUAAACACCAAAG
Molecule: non-coding RNA, 97 nt
Organism: Paramuricea clavata
Lineage: Eukaryota; Metazoa; Cnidaria; Anthozoa; Malacalcyonacea; Plexauridae
Source: the annotation of a GenBank genome assembly